Peromyscus californicus insignis is the source of this 6063-nucleotide long non-coding RNA. RefSeq lists it as uncharacterized. NCBI's taxonomy places the organism in Eukaryota, Metazoa, Chordata, Mammalia, Rodentia, Cricetidae. The transcript has 4 exons. The record is from RefSeq and is a predicted model, not a curated record.
GUUGGAAAGAUUAUCAGGAGACUUAAUCUCCAGCGUGAAGGGGAGACCAGAUGUCCUGCUCCCGGGAAUGAUUUAAAAAUCAUGUUCCAUGCCCCAGAUCUCCGCUCCCAUAACAUGCAAAUAGGAGGUCCUUGCUGAUUUGAUACCAUCCAAUGUGGAAUAUGCUAGGGAGGGUGAUCCUUAGUGGCCAAGGCUACCAAAUACUUUGGAACCAUUCUCCCACUGAUGAUACCUAGGCUGUACCUUGAGAAUCUGGGUGGGUGCUGGUCAUGGAGUAGAGGAAAAGCAUGGAAGUGUGGUGGCGGCAGAUCUCGGCCUUGCUUUGACCCAUCUGAACAAGUAAAUGCUGCCUCUGACCUCGGAAACCCGGCUUCACACACCCCAGAUCCUUUCGUUGGGGAAACCUGUUCUAUGAGGACAAACGGAGACAUCUAUUAUUUGGAAAUGCUCUCUGGAGUCGACAUCAUUCCACACAACCUGAUGCUUUGCUGAUAUGGUUGUAACCUGCCUCCAGACCAGAAGGGUGCUCUAGGAAUGGGUAUGAAAGCACACACCUCUCUUUCUGCUGUCCAUUUAGAAGCCCCCCUUGCUCACGCAGCUGUGGCGACAAGCACUUUUGAUUGGGCGAGGGUUACUCAGGCCAUAGGGAGAGCAUGAGAAAGAGAUGAUGUUCCCUUGAUAGUAGGUCAUGGGAGAAUAUUCUAGGCCACGGCGUGAUUAACCAGAAUGAAAUUCUCCUGAGUCUAGUAGAGACUCAAAUGGAUGGGAAGAGAGGGCCACGCCUCGAGUUGCGCUAAUUGGACUUCGCCCAGAUGCAAAAGCUUGUAAACUUCAAACAGCAAGGCAAACAUGUGUUGACUUCCUGAACAAGCUGGUGGGAAGAAUCUUUGCCACCCGUGCUCUCCAGGGUGGCACCCGAGGCAGUAAGGUGGGCAUUUUACAGCUGCAGUGCCCCACCGGCCAAAGUCAAGUUUCCUCAGCAAGUUUUCUUCCCCUCCUGAGCGUUCCCAUUGUUCUCAGUGCCUGAGACAGAGGCAGAGCUGAGAGUCGAGGUGGGGGAGGGGAGGCAGGGGAGGAGAAGGAUGGGGUGGAAAGUGCCUUGGUGAAACAAGAGGCAGGCUUUCUAAAUGUCCAGGGGUUCCUGCGACGUUGCUCCCUCCUUCUCUGAGGUUAGUGGGUUUAAUUAUUAAACACAGAAGCUUCAUCAACAUUUGGGCUCCUUGGAGACAACCAGCAAUUAUCUCAGAUUCUGUUCCCACUACCAUCCCUCCCCAACUUCAAAGGGAACUCAUUACCAGGCCCCAAAUUCUUCAAAUUACUUUCCCAUCAUCUCCAAUGAUGUUUAUAAGUCGUUCAUAAUGAGAGUCUAAUCUACCGUCAGAUUACUAAAGAAGCUCUCAGAAGAUGGACUGCGAUAAAAUUAUCCCAACUUGGGCUGAUUAUCUUUGGAUCAUUCCUCCCAACAAGAUCUUACUCACUGGUUUGUUACAAUUUUAGGAGAUAUUUUAUGUACAUAUAUUUACAAGAAUAAUUUAUACAGAUUUCUCCCUGGCUCUUAUUGGCAAAUUAACAUCCAAAUGAGGCUUCUCAAAAUGAGCUAGUUUAUGUCUUGCGGAUGAAUAAUUAAAAAUGUAUAUUAAACUGGAGUGAAUGUGAUGAGCCUGUCUUUGAGGUUGCCAGUAAAAUAUAGUAGCCUUUGUUUUAUGGAAGAUUGUAUUUCAUAUGAGGAAGAUCAAGACAUCCCAGAGCCCUGGAGGCUUUAUUAAUAGACAGCUUAGUUCAUUAAUGUGAGCAAUGCCAAGGUUUGUCCUUGACAUCAACAACAACAAAAAAAGAAGAAAGAAAAAAGGAGAGACAUAGUUACACAUCUUAUGUUUUUUACUUAAGAUUUUUUUCCAUCACUAUUUACAUGAUUACUUGAUAAAAAUGUAAGUAGUAAACCAGGUGGAGUUGGUGGCAAGAAUUUCCUGGAAAUCAUCUUUAUAAAGAUUUAAAAAAUCUCAUGCACACAUCAGGCUGAGCCUUUAUUGUCUACUGUUUUUCCCUCAGCUGCCUGCCCUCGCAAGCAGGCUCUCCUCUUUGGGCGGGUGAGGUGGGUUGUCUGCCCCUCACUGUGUCCUUAUCGAUUGCAGAGGGAGAAGAGAGGAUGCGGUGUAGGGGUCUACCUUUAAGCAUUUGCAGGGGCAGACAGCUGCUGAGCUCCAACAGCAAUCCCAAUGCAGAGAGAUAGUGAGCAGGAGGAUAGGCCAAGUUUCCACCAGCAGCAUGAGCAGGGGAUCUUAAGCACAACCUAAUCAAGCAGCAUCCAUCAGGCGCAUCAGAGAACGAGGCAGGUAAGUUGACAGAGAGAUGGAACAGGGUAGAAACUACAGCUCUGCUGUUUGUAGAUUCCGUAACAAGGGACCUUCAGAUCAUGACCUGUUCCUUGCUGCCCCUACUUUAAUCUUUCUUGUCCCACUUUUGUUCUAAGUCUGGGCAAAGUCACUGAGGGACAUGAAUCAGGAGAGGUCAUAUGUCACUCAGCUACGGGAGAAGGGAGCUUUUUCCGAAAGGUGUGAAGGAUGUUGCGACAUCUGUCAUGUUCUUGUUCACGUCUGCCUAUCUUUCCUUCCCUGCCUGGGAUCAGAUGCCAUAAAAACGGAAACUUUGACAUGUGAUCACAUUAAUUUUUAACUCUGAACUCUUGGCACCAGAGACCAAAUCACUGAAUAGAGAUAAGGCUUAAUCAUCUAUUCCCCAGGAGGAAGUAAAGAGACUUGUAACAGGAGAGAGGGCGAUACAGGUAAGAGGGAGGGAAGCGGGGAGGGCUCUUCUCAUUCCUUCCUGUUCUUGGGGCUGUCAGGUCAGAGGAAGUCUGCAGUGUCCUGGCCACUUAUUAAAAACAAGGGCACUGUACACAAAUAAGUGAGGGCCAGACAGACAGAAUGCACUAGGAAGUUGUGGGGAGCAGAUGAAGACCUGAGUGAUAUAUUAUUGACAUGAGCACGGCCAUGUCAGGGACCCCAAUGCCCCAGACCCACGGGAAUGGCAAGGCCUUCUCUGGGUCAGGUUCAGGAAUGGAAAAGCCAUCCCCUUAGUGGAGGAGUACAUUAUUAAUGUCAUCUCUCUGAUUAGCCCUGAUGAUUGAAAGACUCCGGACCAAACCCCAAAAGGACCAAAACAGCAGAGCAAACAGGGUUGUAUACUGCUUUAGUGCCCAAGAGUAGGUCUGUAGGGAGUUGGAUGGUCGUUUCACCAGAAGUCACUAGUGGAUGCCUACAUGCAGAAAUUUGGAAGAAGAAUCUGGUGCGCAGUCAAAUUCUAUACAGAUACGAAGAAUUUGAUUGCUAUGAGCAUGCUGGUCCAAGGACUGAGUAAAACUGCUAACUAGUUGUCUAUUGCUGAUUCCUCGGUGAAAUCUGAGUGCUCCUACUGUAACCUUCGAGACUCUUCUAUCAUUUAUAGUAAGCCCCUUUGAGACUCUUCAGGGCCUGCCACCUUACUCAUUGUCUUACCGUGGAAUGUAAGAUCACAACCUAUUUACCUUUUUCCCAGAAGCCCAUCCCUGGCGUUUGUUUUACCCCUCCCCACAGGGUUUGUGGAGUGGGUCUUGGCCUUAUCUGUUGCUUUUGUUCCUUGAAAGACAAACGUCCAUCCUUUGUCAUUGACUGGCUUUGAAACAGAUGGCCACAGAAUUUGUAAUUGUGGGAAAAUGAAAACACUCCGAAGUAUAAAGUCGCCAGAUUACCACUCCCAAAUGUGCUAAGUUCUCAUACGUUCUUUGUGUCUUCUUUUCCCCAUACAGUAAUUCUGUGGGCCUCCAGGGUAAGGUUCCCAUCAUGUCUCCGAGUACCUCGUUCCCUGUGACCUCAGCUUGGUCCUUUAGCUAGCUCUUCUGCAUCCUUCUGCAGGGCCCCGGCACACAGGCACAUCAGGCACAGCGGUUAUGUAUGACUGCCAAAGCUGACAGGAUGAUUGUGUUAGCGUAUGUUGAGUGCGGGAUACAGCUCCAGGGAGCAGGAGCACUUCCUGGAACACCUAGUGCAGGAGUUGGACAGAUAGCUCAGUGGUUAAGAGCACAUAUUAUCCUGGCAGGGGACCUGGGUUCUAUGUCUGGCACCCACACCAGGCAGCUCACAGCUGUCUGUAGCUCCAGUUCCAGGAGCUUUGUUAUCCCUCUGACCUCCUCAUACAUAGACAUACACAUGUACACCAAGCAAACAAAACAAAGAAAUGCCUAGCGUAGAAUUUUGCUAUGGUGUUGUGUUUCCCAGGGACGUGAGCACAGAGCCACGUGGCCUGAGAUGGAAGGGCUGCCAUGUUUCUGGGUGUAGAUCCUUCCAGCCGUCUUGGAAUGCCUAUGCUUUGCUACUCAGUACAUUCAAUGUGCUUUCCUCUCUUCUAAUGAGCUCCGCCCUAGAGGCUCCUCAGUCCUCCGAUGAGAACGACCAGACUCCACAGCCUCCAACAGUGGGUAAAACGUGGGCUUGUUCCCAGGAGGAUGUUUGACCCUCACGAGACUUGCAUCAAGCUCAAGCUGCCAGUUCAGCUUCAGAGAAAGCUGAUCCCUAAAAGGGGUGGAGGAAAGUCAGGCUGAGCUGAGGUCUCAGCCCAGCCACCCAUGCUGGUUCCCGGUUUUGAAGCAGUUAUUUAUUAUCUACUUAUUGGCCCUUUGCUUUACAAUUGAUUUCUGAGCGUAAGGCUCCCCAGGAGAAAUUGCAUGACUGAGGUUUUGUGUCUUGAUUGUCUGUGAAGGCCUCUAGUAUGAACCAUGUGUUUCUGAUGCCAGGGACCCUUGAAUGGUGGCUGACUGCUGCUUUUGGUCUCUGCCACGUCAUAGACACGACUCUCCAAAGGCGUUGCCCCCAUACUUCAACGCUCCUUUCCUUCCUGAUUCACCCACCGCCUUUCAUUACCCAUCCCGUCUCGAUUACCCGUCUCCGAGUCUUCAGACCGCUCAGAGAUCCAGUGACGUCGUUUCCGGUGGUGGCAGGAGGUGUUCAUAGCUGGCUCCUUCGCAGUUAACUGUGGAGUCCGGCCUGGAGCGAGUUGACUGAUGAUUCAGUGUUUGGAGUGUACUCAGAGAUCCUCACGUGAAACUUUUGUCCUAUAGCAUCUCUGAAGAAAAUUGCUUUGGUCCCAUGUAUGAAGAGUCGCUGAUGGCCAAAAGAACCACUCUGUAAUUUUCCAGUGGAGAAGCUGAGGUCCUCCCAGUGCCGUGUUGACAUCUUUUCACCCAAAUCCGCCACCACUUGACCAAGGACCCUGACAGUGGUUACCCUGCAGGCUGCUGCCCAUAAUUCUAACUGGCUCCAGUAGACCCGAGAACAACCUCCUCUCUCUCUCCUCAACUUGGCUGAAGACUAGAGCCGUCUAGGAACACAAGCUUUAGAAGCCACAAUUCCUGCUGUUCCUCUCUCCCCCGCUAUUAACACACAGGUGCAAGAAUGAAUUGAUCUUACAGUACGGAUAUAAGGAUCAUGACUAAUACAGUCAAAAGACUUAGGGGUUUUCAAAGGCUCAAGAGGAGUAUAAAGAAAUGAGAAUCUUUUUUUCCUUUUGUAAUCUGUGUAGAUUCGUUUCAGCUCUGGUUCUUUUUGGUAGGCCAAAGAUGGCUUCCAAGAAAAGACUACAUUGAUGCUGAACCUUGAGGAAUGGUAAAGAUGAUCCAGGACUAAGAUCCAAGAGGCUAAGAGAACGGUGUGGGCAAAACAGGGCAGUGAGAGUUGAUGGCCUGGCAUUCCCCAGAAGUAGAGGGGAGCUAGGAAAAAAGUCUGGAAAAGCCACUUGACAAGGUGUUGGCGUUGGUGGCGCUCUUUCUGCGAAGCCUUCUCUGAUGUGCACCGCUGGACGGAAUGCUGUUUCUCUGUACUUCUGGAAUGCUCUGCCUCUGUCCCAGGGUAGCUCCUCAUGCAGGACGUGGAAUCACAUUCUUCUUGAUGCCUUUUCUCUGUUGUUGUUUUUCAUGUCCUCAAACUUCAAUGCAUAUUUUUCACUUCAGAAUGGUUUUGUGUGAGCCGUCAUAGCGGACUAGGCAUUAGUCUCUUCUGGGGGUUAUAGUUUUGCUACAGUGGGAAAGCUGGG